CCCAGCCUGCCUCAGGACGCGCACGACGGCUCCCGUCACCCCGCGCGAGGCCGUGGUGGCGGCGCUGAUGGCGGCCGUGCCGCCGGUGGCCUACGUGUACAGCCCCGAGUACAUGGCCCGCUGCGACGCGCUCUGCAAGGCGCCCCGCCGGGCCAGCAUGGUGCACUCGCUGAUCGAGGCGUACUCGCUGCUGGAGCACAUGACGAUAGUCAAGCCGAAGGUGGCUACCAUGGAGGAGAUGGCGAGCUUCCACACGGACGCUUACCUGCAGCACCUGCAGAAGGUCAGCGAGGAGGGGGAUGACGACCAUCCGGAGUCCGUGGAGUAUGGAUUGGGUUACGACUGUCCGGCUACCGAGGGGAUCUUUGACUAUGCGGCAGCCGUGGGGGGAGCCACCAUCACCGCAGCCCAGUGCCUGCUGGACGGCAAGUGCAAGGUAGCGAUUAACUGGCCUGGAGGGUGGCAUCACGCGAAGAAAGAUGAAGCUUCAGGCUUUUGUUACCUGAACGACGCUGUCUUGGGGAUCCUGCGGCUGCGCCAGAAAUUUGACCGAGUCCUUUACAUUGACUUGGAUUUGCAUCACGGGGAUGGGGUUGAAGAUGCCUUUAGCUUCACCUCAAAAGUUAUGACUGUUUCUCUGCACAAGUUUUCGCCAGGAUUUUUCCCAGGCACAGGCGAUGUGACAGAUGUCGGCUUGGGGAAGGGUCGCUAUUACAGCGUGAACGUGCCUAUUCAAGAUGGCAUUCAGGAUGAGAAAUAUUACCAGAUCUGUGAAACCGUGCUGAAGGAGGUGUACGCUGCCUUCAACCCGGAGGCGGUGGUGCUGCAGCUGGGAGCUGACACCAUCGCUGGUGACCCCAUGUGCUCCUUCAACAUGACCCCCGAGGGAGUGGGCAAGUGCCUGAAGUACAUCCUGCAGUGGCAGCUGGCGACUCUCAUCCUGGGAGGAGACAGGAGGCUACAACCUUGCCAACACGGCCCGCUGCUGGACGUACUUGACUGGGGUUAUCCUUGGGAGAACGCUGUCCUCGGAGAUCCCCGAUCACGAGUUCUUCACGGAGUAUGGUCCUGACUACGUGCUGGAGAUCACGCCCAGCUGCAGACCAGACCGCAAUGAGCCACAGAGAAUUCAAGAAAUUCUCAACUUGAUCAAAGGGAAUCUGAAGCACGUCGUGUAGGAAGGCUCGGGUUUCCACAAGAGCAUUUCCCCAUGGGAGGUGACACGUUUACGGGAGCAGCUGCUGACAUUUGUGGCUGCAGAGGGGAUUUGGAAGAAACUACUGUUGGUUCGGUGGUGGAUUUGUUUCUCUUUUUAAAAAAAAGAAAAGCCUGCUGCGUACCAUGGCUCUCCGUGGGCAGGAGCAUGAGCCCUCCGGCCCCAGCUUUCCCGUGCCAGCAGAGCCUUCCUUGCUCCUUUCUCUUCCCUUUUUUAACAUGACAGAGUUUAUUCUCACUACUGGUUCUAAUGUUUUUUAAAAGAGGGGCCACUGCAAGCUCUGUUUUUAACUGGUGGGCAUUUUUUUUCCCAAAUAAAGUAUUUGAAAUACUCCA
RNA transcript from Cygnus olor (mute swan), 1551 nucleotides. It is a transcript of the gene named histone deacetylase 8, with no coding region annotated. NCBI's taxonomy places the organism in Eukaryota, Metazoa, Chordata, Aves, Anseriformes, Anatidae. The transcript is spliced from 11 exons. The record is from RefSeq and is a predicted model, not a curated record.